CUUUUGUAUUCUGGUGUUUAAUUGCCCCUUUGUUUUGCAUAAUCCGAUUAUCUCGUUUUGAUCAAAUAUUGUCCAAACUUAACUGACAAAAAGGUGUCAUAAACCACACUGGGUGGUCCAGACAGUGUCAUUUAACACGAUAGAUGCCACUAUGUCUCCUCUUUCUGGUAGUAUUAAGCAGUCACUUGGAUGAAUAAUUAACGCCGAUGUACUUAACAGUUGCUUAAAUUAGAUAUGUGACAUAUGGUCAAAUAUAAAGUCAUGUCCAAUUUAGAUAAUCAGAAAUUUACACCGUAAAGAUACUAGCCCGAUUAAUUUAUUAAAGUAUUUAAUAAUUAUAAAAUUAACGUAAAAAAACAAGUAACGUAUUUAGCGUGUAUCAGUUAAUUAAAAAGACGUCAUUCCGUAUUAAGAUUUAAUAUUACGACAAUAAACGAUCGACAUCAUAAAAAAAGAAAUUACGUUUGACAGCAACGGGGGACAUUUAAUUACCUAUCGACUUCCCAAUAGGAAUGCAAUUGACGAAAUAUCAGCAGAGGUGCUCAAUCAGCGUAGUAAAUCGACCGUAUCUAGGGCAUUGUUUUCACCGUCGCUAAGGGACUGCCCCUUUUGUGACGUCAUCGCGAUAAGGUCAAUA
Molecule: long non-coding RNA, 637 nt
Organism: Dreissena polymorpha
Lineage: Eukaryota; Metazoa; Mollusca; Bivalvia; Myida; Dreissenidae
Exons: 2
Source: RefSeq, a predicted model, not a curated record